GCCAUAUUUGUACCGUUCAUGCAGAGGAAUUGAGAUAAAUUGGCUUCUUCUAGGUCAGUAAGCGAUCAUCCAGAAGAAGAAAGCAUAAUUUCAUACUAGUUUUGAAAAGGAUAUACGUAUUAAGGGUUAGAAGGCUGUCCAGUGAAACUGGGGACUGACUGUGGAACAGAAAAUGGUGUAAUGGCAGCUAUGCAAUGUACAUUUCCGCAAGAUGCAGAAGCACGCAAGUAUGGGUCAUCUCUGGUGAACCAAAGGAUUGAGGGCUGGACACCAUGUGUUGCCUGACAUUCCAAAUGACUACUGCACAGGAGUCAACAGACAGGACACACUGAUGCUCUCUUCUCAGUGGCAGCCCAAGGAAGGCCUAUACCCUGACAUUAGGCAAUGAAGAUCUGUACUGUUCUAUGAAUAGGGAAGAGUUUGGAGACUGCAUUGGUGGAGGAUGGAUGUUGGUCAUGAAGAUUGAUGGCAAACAGGACACCUUCAGUCACAAUUCAAACAUGUGGUCUUCCAGGUCUUCAGUCUCUCCUGAAAAUGGAGUCACAAGAUUGGAUCACUUAGAGACCCUGUAACCAACCUACUGGAGCACAUCCUUUACCAAAAUCUGCCUAACCAUGAAGAUUGAUAGACAAGGAAACUGUGAAUAAGUCGCGGACACUUAAACAUCCAAAUGGGUUUUGAAGAUAAUGAAAUUCCUCUUUAUAAAAAAGAUACACUUUUACAUGUUAACAUAGGCAGCCGAUGGGUAACUCUUGGAUAGAGUUGAUUGCUGGGGUGAUGUUGGGUGAAUAGUCAGAAUUCACAUUUUGGCUAUCAUUUGACCUGCAUCAUUCCUUUACCUUCACUUUUGCCAUAAAAGUGUACACUUUUUAUGGCAGAUUUUUAAGGUAACAUUUGUAUGAAUGUGCUGCAGGUUGUGAAUAAGUUACACACUCCAUUCCUCCUCGUUCUUUUUGAAUAAUAUUCCAUUGGCUUGCAGUUGAAUCCUCACAAAAUUGCAAAUGAAUGACUGGCUGGUUGGCUAUCAGUUUACAGGGUCCUUUUAAAUAAGAUCUGACUUUUGUUGCUAAGUCAUAUUCUCAAUUUCACAGUCAGUGUAGUCUUUCUUUUCUACAAGCCUGCUUAAUUUUUUCAAGAGAUGUGACCAUCUUGCUUCUGCUGUUGACAAUGAGCAAAACUAUGUAAGAUUAUCCAGCAUAUCUUGAAAUAGCAAAC
This is a non-coding RNA of Pocillopora verrucosa, 1215 nucleotides long. NCBI's taxonomy places the organism in Eukaryota, Metazoa, Cnidaria, Anthozoa, Scleractinia, Pocilloporidae. The record is from RefSeq and is a predicted model, not a curated record.